This 253-nucleotide ribosomal RNA is filed under the name uncultured bacterium. RNAcentral describes it as "partial 16S ribosomal RNA". It matches the Rfam family "Bacterial small subunit ribosomal RNA", at positions 524 to 776 of the family's 1533-position model. The record is from RNAcentral.
UACGUAGGGUGCAAGCGUUGUCCGGAAUUAUUGGGCGUAAAGAGCUCGUAGGCGGUUUGUCGCGUCGGCCGUGAAAUCUCCACGCUUAACGUGGAGCGUGCGGUCGAUACGGGCAGACUUGAGUUCGGUAGGGGAGACUGGAAUUCCUGGUGUAGCGGUGAAAUGCGCAGAUAUCAGGAGGAACACCGGUGGCGAAGGCGGCAUCCUGGACCGGCAUUGACGCUGAGGAGCGAAAGCUAGGGGAGCAAACGGG